CUUCUUCCUCACAAUCAAGACCGGAGCACCCCAAGGUGAGGUACUCUGUCGGAUGAAACCCUUUUCUACCAGCUCUUGCAACUGCUCUUUCAACUCCUUUAACUCGGCUGGGGCCAUCCUGUAGGGAGGGAUAGAGAUCGGUCUAGUUCCAGGCACCAACUCUAUCUCGAACUCUAUCUCCCUAGCAGAUGGUAAACCUGGAAGCUCAUCCGGAAAAACAUCCUGAAACUCUCUGACAACUGGCACUGAGGCCGGCUCCCUGACCUGACUGUCUAGCUCUCUCACAUGAGCUAAGUACCCCUGACAUCCCUUCCUAAGCAACCUACGAGCCUGAAGAGCUGAUAUCAGACCUCUAGGCGUGCCCCUCUUGUCUCCUCUGAAGACGACCUCUGACCCGUUCUGAUCUCUGAACCUGAC
Molecule: long non-coding RNA, 417 nt
Filed under: Manihot esculenta (cassava)
Lineage: Eukaryota; Viridiplantae; Streptophyta; Magnoliopsida; Malpighiales; Euphorbiaceae
Description: long non-coding RNA (MESC_LNC011250)
Source: RNAcentral